Molecule: long non-coding RNA, 2094 nt
Filed under: Triticum aestivum (bread wheat)
Lineage: Eukaryota; Viridiplantae; Streptophyta; Magnoliopsida; Poales; Poaceae
Description: long non-coding RNA (TAES_LNC020550)
Source: RNAcentral
CCCUUCUUCUCCCUUGCCGUACAUAGCGAGACUGGCCUCCGAGGUAACCCUCCCCCCUUCCCUUCUCCUCUCAUCCAGUCAACUUAUUCGUGGGCACCUCGAGACAUGGUUGUGGGAUGUAGGUGGAUUUGGUAGAUGAUGAAGGGGAUGGAUUUCAGAGCUGUACUAUACAACCCGUGCUAUAUUCAGUUGUUUUGAACACCCUCGAUGUUCAGAAACUUCAGACCAAUUCCAACAGUCCCUAAAGGGACACCUCCAUUAGCUCCCAUGACUGCCAACACAAGUGCGUUGACAUUUGAAGCUAACCUGACUUCAUGUACUAGGGUAUUCCUGAUCCUGCAAAGUGCUCCCUCACCAUCGCCUCCUGCGAAGACAGAACAUCCAGCAAAGAGCAAUGCUAUAGAGCUCACAGUUGGCCUGUGCUCCCAAUAAAACAUGACCAUCAUUUCUUCUUGGAAUGUGGUAGUCGUGAUUCACGUCGUUUAAGCUAAAAAUUUUUGGGAGUUGCAUUGAUGUUAUAGACAGUUGAUAGAAUAAACACUAGCAUUUUAUUAGCGAUUUCAUGAAUAAAAGCAGGAAUGAAAGACAAAUUGCUAUCUGUAACUUGAUCUGUGCACUUUCCAAUGUGUUGUCCUCUGCCCUAGCAAUCCAAGUUGUCGCUAGUAUGUUUGAUGUGCACAGUGUUUUAGCAACUACCAUGUGGCUAGGUGAUCAUUCUUUGUGCCCUGUUGGAAUUUAUUCCAGUGCAGUUUAGGUCAAUUGGGCAUGUCCAUGUUUCUCUGCACUAAGUAGACAUUCAUCUCUGAAUUUAGUUUGUAUAGGGAAUGCUUGAAAUAUUCAGGGUGUAAGCAUUGCACUGAGUAAACAUUCAUCUCUGAAUUCAGUUUUUACAGAGAAUAUUUGAUUCAAAUAUUCAGGGAAUGUAGUGUAGGCAAGGCACAUCCACUAUUUUAGAUUCUAAUGGUUGAAGUUUCCAAAAUACUCAAGAGUUUGGGCAAACCUGGGAAUGGUUGGACAUCCAGACUAGAACCAGUGUGGUCUAUAGGACUACACGCCACACAUUCAAAUGAAACCAACCCAGAUUCUUUCACCUUGAAUCUUGACCAAACCAAACUAUACAUGCUCUCCAUCCAACCUAGUCCAAACUGUUUCCAAAUUGUGCAUUGAACUCACAGGUUCAAACUAUGGAGAAAGUCAUAUGGGAGGGCGCGUCAUUAAUCUACAAAAUAGUGGAGUUGUUGUGAUAGCAAAAACAUCAAGCUACUCUUCUGCGCGUGAUAGAUAUCCUAUUCUUGGAGAUGUCAUGUACUUUUGAAGGAUUGUGGACAUAAUUGAGUUAGACUAUUUCUGAUUUUUUGGUGCUAUUUAAAUGUGAAUGGGUUGAUGUUACCGAAGGAAAAGGUAUGCGAAUAGAUAAGUAUGGCUGUAAACUUGUAAAUUCUCUCGUCUAAUUCACACUGGUAAAAGGCAGAGGAUGUACCUUUUGUAUUUGCCACAAGUUGACAAGGUGUUCUAUGUGGGUGACCAUGUUUAUCCAGGAUGGUCAAUUUGUUUUUGAAGAUGAAGCCUCGAGAUAAUUUUUAUAAUGUGGAAACAGAACCUUAUCAUGUCAGCAAUUUCUUUGAGCUUUUUGAUACUGCCCAUUAGAAACAAAAUUGGAUGAGAAGAGACAUAGAGGGCGAAACUAUAGAUGCUCCUAUACUGCCAAGUGAUUAUACAGUACCUCAAUAAAGGUCAGCUUCCAAUGUGAUUCUGUUAUUUACAUUCUUAGUAUCAUUGCUGCAACUUAUGUUAGUUUGGACAUGAAACUUACUACUCUAUUGCUUCUGCAUGAAAGUUCGAUGGAUAACAAAAGUCACCGAUCUGAAAAUGUGGAGCCUAGUUGAAGUGACGAAUGCAUUAGUGUUAUUUGCUAUUUUUCUUUGAUGUGCAUGUACUCUAUAAUUCGGACAAGAAUAUUUGUAGGCGUGACAAGCCUAAAGUGUCAAUACUUGAUCCCAAUUACGUUCGUGUUGGUUGUUGUGUUUCCAAUAUAUUAUGAGUUACAGUGUCUAUCAAGUGGCUAUUGAUAAUCACACAUGUUCAUAUGUCCCU